RNAcentral lists this ribosomal RNA (446 nucleotides) under uncultured bacterium. RNAcentral describes it as "bacterial SSU rRNA". It matches the Rfam family "Bacterial small subunit ribosomal RNA", at positions 330 to 793 of the family's 1533-position model. The record is from RNAcentral.
UCCAGACUCCUACGGGAGGCAGCAGUGGGGAAUAUUGCACAAUGGGGGAAACCCUGAUGCAGCGACGCCGCGUGAGCGAUGAAGUAUUUCGGUAUGUAAAGCUCUAUCAGCAGGGAAGAAGAUGACGGUACCUGACUAAGAAGCCACGGCUAACUACGUGCCAGCAGCCGCGGUAAUACGUAGGUGGCAAGCGUUAUCCGGAUUUACUGGGUGUAAAGGGCGUGUAGGCGGGGACGCAAGUCAGAUGUGAAAACCAUGGGCUCAACCUGUGGCCUGCAUUUGAAACUGUGUUUCUUGAGUACUGGAGAGGCAGACGGAAUUCCUAGUGUAGCGGUGAAAUGCGUAGAUAUCAGGAGGAACACCGGCGGCGAAGGCGGCCUGCUGGACUGAAACUGACGUUGAGGCUCGAAAGCGUGGGGAGCAAACAGGAUUAGAUACCCGCGUAA